AGUGAACGCUGGCGGUAGGCCUAACACAUGCCAGUCGAACGGCAGCACAGUAAGAGCUUGCUCCUACGGGUGGCGAGUGGCGGACGGGUGAGGAAUACAUCGGAAUCUACUUUUUCGUGGGGGAUAACGUAGGGAAACUUACGCUAAUACCGCAUACGACCUACGGGUGAAAGCAGGGGAUCUUCGGACCUUGCGCGAUUGAAUGAGCCGAUGUCGGAUUAGCUAGUUGGCGGGGUAAAGGCCCACCAAGGCGACGAUCCGUAGCUGGUCUGAGAGGAUGAUCAGCCACACUGGAACUGAGACACGGUCCAGACUCCUACGGGAGGCAGCAGUGGGGAAUAUUGGACAAUGGGCGCAAGCCUGAUCCAGCCAUACCGCGUGGGUGAAGAAGGCCUUCGGGUUGUAAAGCCCUUUUGUUGGGAAAGAAAAGCAGCAGGUUAAUACCCCGCUGUUCUGACGGUACCCAAAGAAUAAGCACCGGCUAACUUCGUG
This 492-nucleotide ribosomal RNA is filed under the name uncultured bacterium. RNAcentral's name for it is "partial 16S ribosomal RNA". It matches the Rfam family "Bacterial small subunit ribosomal RNA", at positions 29 to 507 of the family's 1533-position model. The record is from RNAcentral.